Molecule: unclassified non-coding RNA, 329 nt
Filed under: soil metagenome
Description: partial contains 5.8S ribosomal RNA, internal transcribed spacer 2, and large subunit ribosomal RNA
Rfam family: 5.8S ribosomal RNA (bases 1-120)
Source: RNAcentral
GAUGAAGAACGUAGCGAAAUGCGAUAAGUAAUGUGAAUUGCAGAAUUCAGUGAAUCAUCGAAUCUUUGAACGCACAUUGCGCCCUCUGGUAUUCCGGGGGGCAUGCCUGUUCGAGCGUCAUUAUAACCACUCAAGCUCUCGCUUGGUAUAGGGGCUCGCGGUUCCGCGGCCCCUAAAAUCAGUGGCGGUGCCUGUCGGCUCUACGCGUAGUAAUACUCCUCGCGAUUGAGUCCGGUAGGUCUACUUGCCAGCAACCCCCAAUUUUUACAGGUUGACCUCGGAUCAGGUAGGGAUACCCGCUGAACUUAAGCAUAUCAAUAAGCGGAGGA